Molecule: ribosomal RNA, 476 nt
Filed under: uncultured Streptococcus sp.
Lineage: Bacteria; Bacillati; Bacillota; Bacilli; Lactobacillales; Streptococcaceae
Description: bacterial SSU rRNA
Rfam family: Bacterial small subunit ribosomal RNA
Source: RNAcentral
CAAAGGAAUUGACGGGGGCCGCACAAGCGGUGGAGCGUGUGGUUUAAUUCGAAGCAACGCGAAGAACCUUACCAGGUCUUGACAUCCCGAUGCUAUUCUAGAGAUAGAAAGUUACUCGGUACAUCGGUGACAGGUGGUGCAUGGUUGUCGUCAGCUCGUGUCGUGAGAUGUUGGGUUAAGUCCCGCAACGAGCGCAACCCCUAUUGUUAGUUGCCAUCAUUCAGUUGGGCACUCUAGCGAGACUGCCGGUAAUAAACCGGAGGAAGUGGGGAUGACGUCAAAUCAUCAUGCCCCUUAUGACCUGGGCUACACACGUGCUACAAUGGUUGGUACAACGAGUUGCGAGUCGGUGACGGCGAGCUAAUCUCUUAAAGCCAAUCUCAGUUCGGAUUGUAGGCUGCAACUCGCCUACAUGAAGCCGGAAUCGCUAGUAAUCGCGGAUCAGCAUGCCGCGGUCGAAUACGUUCCCGGGCCUU